AGAGUUUGAUCCUGGCUCAGAACGAACGCUGGCGGCAGGCUUAACACAUGCAAGUCGAGCGCCCCGCAAGGGGAGCGGCAGACGGGUGAGUAACGCGUGGGAACAUACCCUCCGGUUCGGAAUAGCUCAGGGAAACUUGGAUUAAUACCGGAUACGGUCGAGAGGCGAAAGAUUUAUCGCCGGAGGAUUGGCCCGCGUUCGAUUAGCUAGUUGGCGGGGUAAAGGCCCACCAAGGCGACGAUCGAUAGCUGGUCUGAGAGGAUGAUCAGCCACAUUGGGACUGAGACACGGCCCAAACUCCUACGGGAGGCAGCAGUGGGGAAUAUUGGACAAUGGGCGCAAGCCUGAUCCAGCCAUGCCGCGUGAGUGAUGACGGCCUUAGGGUUGUAAAGCUCUUUCGCUAGGGACGAUAAUGACGGUACCUAGACAAGAAGCCCCGGCUAACUUCGUGCCAGCAGCCGCGGUAAUACGAAGGGGGCUAGCGUUGUUCGGAAUUACUGGGCGUAAAGCGCGUGUAGGCGGGCGAAUAAGUCAGGGGUGAAAUGCCAAGGCUCAACCUUGGAACUGCCUUUGAUACUGUUCGUCUUGAGUCCGGGAGAGGUGAGUGGAACUGCGAGUGUAGAGGUGAAAUUCGUAGAUAUUCGCAAGAACACCAGUGGCGAAGGCGGCUCACUGGCCCGGAACUGACGCUGAGACGCGAAAGCGUGGGGAGCAAACAGGAUUAGAUACCCUAGUAGUCC
This 740-nucleotide ribosomal RNA is filed under the name uncultured bacterium. RNAcentral describes it as "bacterial SSU rRNA". It matches the Rfam family "Bacterial small subunit ribosomal RNA", at positions 8 to 796 of the family's 1533-position model. The record is from RNAcentral.